CUGGAAUUCAGCUGUUCUGGCUGGGCUUAUCCUGGGUGUGCCUACCCAAGGCACUAACACUUCCCCUGACCACUAACCACUCCAGAGCCUGAGAAAACACCAAAAAACCUCUCCCAGGGGCCAGGAGGCAAGAGGCAGGGAAAUGGCAGCGUGAGUGACUGCUGGGACACGCUGGAAGGUGAACAAAUCCUGCCUCGGAUGGCUUGUGGAGGGGGUUCCUU
Molecule: long non-coding RNA, 221 nt
Filed under: Cyanistes caeruleus (blue tit)
Lineage: Eukaryota; Metazoa; Chordata; Aves; Passeriformes; Paridae
Description: lncRNA (ENSCCEG00000013038.1)
Source: RNAcentral